Molecule: ribosomal RNA, 253 nt
Filed under: uncultured bacterium
Lineage: Bacteria
Description: partial 16S ribosomal RNA
Rfam family: Bacterial small subunit ribosomal RNA
Source: RNAcentral
UACGUAGGUGGCAAGCGUUAUCCGGAAUUAUUGGGCGUAAAGGGUGCGCAGGCGGUUGGUCAAGACGGAUGUGAAAGCCCCGGGCUUAACCUGGGAGUGUCAUUCGUGACUGACGAACUAGAAUAUGGCAGAGGGAGGCGGAAUUCCACAUGUAGCAGUGAAAUGCGUAGAGAUGUGGAGGAACACCGAUGGCGAAGGCAGCCUUCUGGGCUAAUAUUGACGCUCAGGCACGAAAGCGUGGGGAGCAAACAGG